This 465-nucleotide ribosomal RNA is filed under the name Vreelandella stevensii. Its description in RNAcentral is "partial 16S ribosomal RNA". It matches the Rfam family "Bacterial small subunit ribosomal RNA", at positions 338 to 795 of the family's 1533-position model. Lineage: Bacteria; Pseudomonadati; Pseudomonadota; Gammaproteobacteria; Oceanospirillales; Halomonadaceae. The record is from RNAcentral.
CCUACGGGGGGCAGCAGUGGGGAAUAUUGGACAAUGGGCGAAAGCCUGAUCCAGCCAUGCCGCGUGUGUGAAGAAGGCCUUCGGGUUGUAAAGCACUUUCAGUGGGGAAGAAAGCCUUGGGGCUAAUACCCUCGAGGAAGGACAUCACCCACAGAAGAAGCACCGGCUAACUCCGUGCCAGCAGCCGCGGUAAUACGGAGGCUGCGAGCGUUAAUCGGAAUUACUGGGCGUAAAGCGCGCGUAGGCGGUCUGAUAAGCCGGUUGUGAAAGCCCCGGGCUCAACCUGGGAACGGCAUCCGGAACUGUCAGGCUAGAGUGCAAGAGAGGAAGGUAGAAUUCCCGGUGUAGCGGUGAAAUGCGUAGAGAUCGGGAGGAAUACCCGUGGCGAAGGCGGUCUUCUGGAUUGACACUGACGCUGAGGUGCGAAAGCGUGGGUAGCAAACAGGAUUAGAUACCCCGGUAGUC